AUGACGGCCUUCUUGUUGUAAACCUCUUUCAGCAGGGACGAAGCGCUCGUGACGGUAGGUACAGAAGAAACACCGGCCAACUACGUGCCAGCAGCCGCGGUAAUACGUAUGGUGCGAGCGUUGUCCGGAAUUAUUGGGCGUAAAGGGCUCGUAGGCGGUUUGUCGCGUCUGGAGUGAAAACUCACGGCUUAACUCUGAGCCUGCUUCCGAUACGGGCAGACUAGAGGUAUGCAGGGGAGAACGGAAUUCCUGGUGUAGCGGUGAAAUGCGCACAUAUCAGGAGGAACACCGGUGGCGAAGGCGGUUCUCUGGGCAUGACCUGACGCUGAGGAGCGAAAGUGUGGGGAGCGAACAGGAUUAGAUACCCUGGUAGUCCACACCGUAAACGUUGGGCGCUAGGUGUGGGAUCCAUUCCACGGGUUCCGUGCCGCAGCUAACGCAUUAAGCGCCCCGCCUGGGGAGUACGGCCGCAAGGCUAAAACUCAAAGGAAUUGACGGGG
RNAcentral lists this ribosomal RNA (500 nucleotides) under uncultured Nocardioidaceae bacterium. RNAcentral describes it as "bacterial SSU rRNA". It matches the Rfam family "Bacterial small subunit ribosomal RNA", at positions 408 to 918 of the family's 1533-position model. Lineage: Bacteria; Bacillati; Actinomycetota; Actinomycetes; Propionibacteriales; Nocardioidaceae. The record is from RNAcentral.